CUCAAACCUUCUGAACUUCACUUGCAAAGCUUGGUUUGAAAGCUGGCUCUGCGUUAAGUACAUUGUUAGUAAUGUUGGCAGCAGUUACACUGCAAGAUACAAUCAGUUGGGCUUGACACAAAACUCACUUAAGUAUUCCUGAAGAGAAGCUGCAGAACAUGCAAGCUGUCAGAUAAAGGGAAGGUGGGAGAGGAAACUUGAAUUGAUCUUCUGUUGUAAGGUACUGUAACAUUUGUCUGCUAGUCAAAGACCUAGAACUCUGUGUCUGGCCUUGCAGCAAGUCUACGUCAUGGUGGCUAGCACUGUGUGCACAACGUAGUGUGAGAUUCUUCCUAGAGAAGCCUUAUGUCACCUGCUACAAGGGCAGGUAGAUUUUACAGGCGCAGUAUGGGUGAAGUGUGCCAGAGUCAUGGCAUUGCUGUAAAUGCCAGAGCUCUUAAUGAAAUGUGCAUAUCUGGUAUGGCAUACGUACAGAUAAUUCUGCUCUGUGUUAGAUGUUUUGAGUUGAGAUAUAUAACUGUACACUGAUUACAAGCUGUGCAAUUCACAACUCCAUGUUUGUCCUUGCAGUGGAACUGCACUGUGGCCUAUCACCAGUUUGGCCCUAUACAGGACCCCAGUACUGAGUGAGUAAGGUAGGUAUGUUCAAGGAAAAGUGAAGAAAAUACCAAAACCAUCUAGAGUGAUGAACUAAUAACAUCUUGUUUCCAUAAAACCCUUACCUUCCUCUACCAUUUAGCUUUGCACAGGCUUCAGUUAUUUAAUCACAAUUGUUAUUAUCCUUGCGUGAUCUUUGAACUAUUACCCGAUCCUGCCCCCUUGUCAGAUAUUCUUAAUUUUACAAACAGUAAACUUUCUGCUAUAUUUUGUCCCCUAAUAAGAGAUUGGUUCCCUUCUCACACCAGCCUUUUUGUGAGUAAUAAAAGCUGCCUUUACUGCACAGUUUUGCCAUCCCAUGAUCCUGAGAUUGAAGAGUCUGGCAGCAAUGGAAGGUGGUUAAGAAAACGUCUGCUCCCAAAAGGACAGGUAUGUGAUUUACUGUUGUGCUUGGGCUGCGGCAGUUAGCAGUCUGAUGUUUAACCUUGCUGUUGGCUAACUUCUGUAGGCACAACCACAUGGUCCACAGUGAUUUUGAUAUAAAGCUUUGGUUAUGCAAAGUCAGCCACUGUCUUUUUUGGAAUUAAAAAAAGAGGAAGACAAAGUGAGGAACUCUUUUUCAUGAGAAUGUUAUGUCAUUCACAUCACCUUAACCCACUGAUGACCUUAAGGGAAGAAAAUGAAAAAGUCACUUAAUAUAUAAAUUCUUAUGUUCUUGGCAGUAGAAUUUGCUUUGCAAAUAUGAGCAUUUGGCAAGUUUCUACGUUUUCCUCAGCAAAACUGAAAUGAAAGCUGAGGAAGGGAAUAAAAAUUGAAUUGUGCUGACCCAAACACAUACUUCCUGAAAUCAACAGGAUUUACAUACAUUAGCAGAAGAGAAAGAGCUCAGAACUACCUUCCUAAAAAAAAAAAAAAAAAAAAAAAAAAAAAAAGCACUGCAUUUAUUUCAUGAAGUUUAAAAAAGGUCCCUCAUUUGAAAGAAAAAAAGGGAAAAGCAGCAUAAAUUAAACUACAUACACUGUAUUGCACCUAACUUUUUCUGGUAAAGGGAAGUAGGCAGAUGAUAGGAAGUCAUGUAUUUUUGCUUGUGCAUUUAUGUGCAGAGAUAUAUGGAUGUGUACAGAUAUUUAAGUGUUUUUUAACAGCUACAGGACUCCAGCAUGCAUCUCCAGGUGCAUGUGAGCUAUCUGAACCCUUCAGAUUUUAUUGCAUAACACAGACAUGUUGCAAAAUAUUACCACACCAAGAUCAUUUACAUUAUUUCAUAACGAAAAAGAAGUGCUAUUACAGAACAUUUUUACCCUUAAGGGAAAAUUACUAAUUAUUUAAAACAUUGUCUGUGUGUUUGUGUGUGGUGUAUAGGGCUAUAUGAGCCUCAUUAUGGAAAAAUCCAGGGGUGGAUUAAAGCAGGAUCUGUGGGAUACAGCCUAAGGUCAGAGGAGUUUCAACAGACAAGAAUGUCAAAAGCAAAGCAGAAAAUGACAGCACAGUUGAUUGUAGUGAUUGGGGUGAUACAGACACAUACCUUCAGGGAAAAACAGCUCUUCAGAAAUGGGAACAGCUGUGUAAGACUGUCUUAGGCCUGAUCAGGAAGCAGGUGACAUCCAGAAGCAGAGCAGGGUAGGAGGCAGGUGUUUUGGCCUCAGAAUGGAAUCCGGAAACCUCUGUUAAGCUUCUACAUUCUUUGAACAGACAGGGUUUCUUUCUCAAUAUCCUACUGAGUAAUCUUAUGAUAUACUGAAGACUGUCUGCAAAUUGCAUGGAACCCCACCAGUAGAAGACAGUGUGUGGUGUAUUAGCGUGGAGAGUUUGCCCAUGACCUUUCUCAUCUUUCCACUAUCCAAAUUUGACAGGGCAAGUAUACCACAUCUUUCUCUUCCCAUAAACUCAAGUGUACCUCAGCAGGUAGGACAGAAGGCAGAGCUCCAAGUUUGGUAACCCUGGGUUCCCAAACUACUAAUCAAGAAGCUUUGAUGAAGAACACACUUGCAACUGCAGCUGAUCAUCAAGUGGAAAUUAAUUUGUGAAUGACUGAAGGCAGCAGCAAUUUAGAGGCGCAGCAACUGAGAGAUAAGUGCCAGCACAUCUACCCGCACAAUACCUUUUCUCUGACUGUCUCCUCUUUGAACCUGGAAGUGAAUUUGAAUGUUACAUGUGACUUGUCUAGCAUUAUCGCUGAGUACGGUAUCUUCCAUCAAAGCCAAGGCUGGUGGCAGUAGUUCAUGCUUCCCUGAGUAGCUCUGCUCACUGUGCUACAGCUCUACCGCUGGGGGUGAAAUGACUUUAACCCUUAAAAUAAACUUAAAUAAAAUUUCGUAGGACUCGGG
Gallus gallus (chicken) is the source of this 2924-nucleotide long non-coding RNA. NCBI's taxonomy places the organism in Eukaryota, Metazoa, Chordata, Aves, Galliformes, Phasianidae. The record is from Ensembl.